UGAGGAAUAUUGGUCAAUGGGCGAGAGCCUGAACCAGCCAAGUAGCGUUCAGGAUGACGGCCCUAUGGGUUGUAAACUGCUUUUAUAUGGGAAUAAAGUGAGGGACGUGUCCCUUAUUGCAUGUACCAUAUGAAUAAGGACCUGCUAAUUCCGUGCCAGCAGCCGCGGUAAUACGGAAGGUCCAGGCGUUAUCCGGAUUUAUUGGGUUUAAAGGGAGCGUAGGCUGUUUGUUAAGCGUGUUGUGAAAUGUAAGAGCUCAACUUUUAGAUUGCAGCGCGAACUGGCAGACUUGAGUGCGCACAACGUAGGCGGAAUUCAUGGUGUAGCGGUGAAAUGCUUAGAUAUCAUGAAGAACUCCGAUUGCGAAGGCAGCUUACGGGAGCGCAACUGACGCUGAAGCUCGAAGGUGCGGGUAUCGAACAGG
RNAcentral lists this ribosomal RNA (424 nucleotides) under Verrucomicrobiota bacterium. RNAcentral describes it as "Verrucomicrobia bacterium partial 16S ribosomal RNA". It matches the Rfam family "Bacterial small subunit ribosomal RNA", at positions 355 to 776 of the family's 1533-position model. The record is from RNAcentral. Lineage: Bacteria; Pseudomonadati; Verrucomicrobiota.